AACGAACGCUGGCGGCAUGCCUAACACAUGCAAGUCGAACGACAUCCUUCUGGGUCUUUUGGCUCACGGGUGCGUAACGCGUGGGAAUCUGCCCUUACGUUCGGAAUAACAGUUAGAAAUGACUGCUCAUACCGGAUGAUGACGUUAUGUCCCAAGCUAUAUCGCCUGAGGAUGAGCCCGCGUAGGAUUAGCUCGUUGUUGUGUUAAAGGCGCACCAAUGCGACGAUACUUAGCUGGUCUGCGAGGAUGAUCAGCCACACUUGGACUGAGACACGGCCCAGACUAUUACGGGAGGGAGCAGUGGGGAAUAUUGGAAAAUGGGGGGAAGGAUGAACCAGCAAUGCCGGGUGAGUGAUGAAGGCGUGAGGGUAGUAAAGCUGGUUAACACGAGAUGAUAAUGACAGUAUCGGGAGAAUAAGCCCCGGCUAACUCCGUG
Molecule: ribosomal RNA, 436 nt
Filed under: uncultured bacterium
Lineage: Bacteria
Description: partial 16S ribosomal RNA
Rfam family: Bacterial small subunit ribosomal RNA
Source: RNAcentral